UUGAGAAUGCACUAUUAUCUAGGCUAUAAUGGCAUGAUGCAGUUCGAUGCUGUUUGACUACACGUUGGGCUGCAUGCUGUAGCCAUGUGCCCAUCAAUACAAUGAUGGGGAGAAGUUUUAGAACGAAGGGAGAAAAGUGCAUCUCUUGCUCGCCCUCAGUAGAUUUUGUGACUGUACCGACGGCAAAAAGUGCAAGUCGUCUUGACGGAGGAAGGGGGAGAAGGGGGUGGGGAAGUGGCAAACGUACGCAUCAAUUCGUACAGUCUUCAGCGGCACCCCGUUUUUUCCUGCAACGAUUUGGGAAGGAGAGAGAAAAUUCUGCAUUAUUUGCGGAACCGUUGCAAUAUGAUCCAGCAGCCUCUGUUUAUAGGUGCGCGUGCUGCCCCUAUGUGUGCAUGUCAACGUACAGUAUAAACCGAGAGAGACGGUUAAAGAAAGGGAGAGUGAAAGGGAACACGCAUCGCUGGAUAUCAGGUUGUAGAAGCUCAGAUGGUGGUGAGGUGAUUUUCAG
Long non-coding RNA from Salvelinus sp. IW2-2015, 511 nucleotides. RefSeq lists it as uncharacterized. Lineage: Eukaryota; Metazoa; Chordata; Actinopteri; Salmoniformes; Salmonidae. The transcript is spliced from 3 exons. The record is from RefSeq and is a predicted model, not a curated record.